CUCAGCUAGAAAGAAGAGUAAACGAGUGAAAAUCAGCUCAGAGUGAGAAAGAAAAAAGCAGCUUUGCUAUUAAUUGGGCUGAGGUGACGGGCACAGAUAAAAACAAACGUGAAAUUAACAGGAAAUACUGUUUCUCCCAAAGUCAUACAGCAGCUGUAAAAUACCAAAAAGAGACCAUCUUCUCGUUACUACUGCUUUCUUGCCAAUGACCCUAGACCCACUUUACCAUUUACAUCUAUUACUAUUUUCAUCUGUUACAUCUAAUUCAUCUAUUACUUCCAACUGCUAAGAUGCCCCUGCUAUUACAUACAUAGGGGUGCACCCAUGUCCCCAUCCUUCACAUACUCCAGCUUCACUCCUGCCUUGAAUCCACCUGUGCGUCCCGCCUCUCCACCGUCGUUUGAAAUCCACUAAAUCCCGCCCCGCUGCUAUGCACGCUCCCCAUAGGACCCAGACGCAGCUCUCACAGUCCCCAUUGGUCCUAUCCUCACUUGAACACCAAUCUAGAAUCCUCCACCAUCCAUCCAAUUCUAUAGAGCACGGCCCUUCUCUUCUCAUUGGCCAGUUUGGUUCCACUCAGGUUCGCCCCAUCCACGGAGGGGUGGUAAAGGCAGUGCUCCGGGGUACUGGAGCAGCGGGAGUCUCAGGUAUGAGUCUAUUCUCGGGACUAGGAAGGUUACAACUUGGGCGAUCUUUCUACGUGCAGAGCGAGGCAUUCCAAGCGAUCUAUAAGAUUCUUCAUUCCCAGGUGUUUGCAGUUACCUACCACAUUCAUCCAGCAUCUGUACCCUGUCCCUCCUGAUGUGACCACCUGGAAAUGCCUUUUUCCAAGCAGCCUGGGGGACACGAUGUACCUUUCAAAACCACUUUACCAUGGCUGCACAGCAUGUAAGUGUCGAGGUUUCCUGGUAUUGCAAGGCUGAAGGGUGCUUGUCUCAUGGAGUCCAAGAAUGAAUCUUGCGGACAAAAGGGUAAAGUGAAGUGAAAGCUUAUUAAGUGAAGGUGAGAACAGGAAGGAAAGAAAAAAAAGCUCUUUAGAGUGAGAGGGGUCCAGAAUGGGUUGCUACUGAGGGCUUUUGUGGAGGGUAGUUUAUAGAAAACUGACCAGGGAACUUGGUAACAUACCUUGUCUAUAACAUUUAAGACAAACCAGGUGGAUUUGUUAUGCUCCUUCCUCUCUGGUUAAUAUCUUGUCUGUAACAUUUCUCCACAUCUGGGAUUUCUGUGAGCCACUCCCUGUCUCUCCCUACCUAGCCUCACCUCUCCCUUACUCUAUGGCUAUAAACCCCUCCAGGAAGGGAAAUCUCUGAGGGGUGAUUUGGGGGGAGGAUUGGAGAAGCCAGAUGUAGAUCUAGAUUGGGUGCUGUCAGGAAGCAGGGCUAUCGGAAACCUAUAUGGUGGAGAGAAUGAAGAGAAACUGCAACUAAUUGGUAGAGAAGCAUGAGUCACUCAUAUGAAGUAACAAAGGUGGGGGGGUGAUCAUUUUGGGGGUUUGGGCAAGAUUCAGGUCUUUGUUGUCAGCCGUGAUGAGAGAUUUUGUCUUGAUCCGUCACAGUCCUAGAAGGACUUGGUCUGUCUGCAAAAUUGUUCUGGUUCAGCAGGUGAACACCAAGGCCCAGCUGUGUCCAGCCAGCUUCCUGGCCUCAGGGGCUGCCCUGUUCUCACCAGCAUCCCAGAAUUUCCCUCCUGUCUACCACCAGUAACCGCACCCCCCCAAAGGUAACCAUUACCCUGAGUUCUCUUAGGUUAGUUUAGUUGUGUCUGUGUAAUGGUAUCAUGUGGUAUAUUCUCUUUGCCCUCAGCCUUCCAGCCAGCAUUAUCUUUAUAAGAUUCAC
Molecule: long non-coding RNA, 1835 nt
Filed under: Mustela putorius furo (domestic ferret)
Lineage: Eukaryota; Metazoa; Chordata; Mammalia; Carnivora; Mustelidae
Description: lncRNA (ENSMPUG00000025685.1)
Source: RNAcentral